GUUCAAGACCAGCCUGACCAACAUGGUGAAACCCCGUCUUCUACUAAAAAUACAAAAAUUAGCCAGGCAUGGUGGCGGGCGCCUAUAAUCCCAGCUAUUCAUGAGGCUGAGGCAGGAGAAUCGCUUGAACCGGGGAGGCGGAGGUUGUAGUGAGCUGAGAUCGCACCACUGCACUCUAGCCUGGGCGAAAGAGCGAGACUCCAUCUCAAAAAAAAAAAUUGUUUUUAACUGCCUCAUCUCAGAAAUUUUUCUCUUUUGAGGGGAGAUCAAAUAUCCAGAAUUCUCUAGACUGGAGCAGGGGUUUUUCAAACAACAGCAGCAGACUCACCUGUAAUCUUGUCAGAAGUAUGAAUUAUCAGUCUCCACCCUAGACUUACUGAAUCAGACACUGUGGGAGUUAGGCCUAGCAGUCUGUAUUUACUAGGUGAUCCGGAGGCAUGCUAGUUUGAAAACUGCUGGGCUAGAGAAGGUCUGCUGAGGAUGUGAUACAUUCCUCACUAAUUUAAGGAUUUGACUCAGAAGCCAUUUAAUUAAAAGGAUCUGCUGGGUCAAGGGAAAGGGGAAAAACUCAUAUGAAUUUAAUUGCCUGGUCCUUUCAAGAGUCAGAAGGUACAAAUAUUUAUUUAGUUUGCUCACAGAGUCGAGAAUUUUGAGACUAGUGGUAACUUCUUUCGCCAGUCCCUAAUGACAUCACGUUAGAGGGUGUGGGACAGUGUGAUUAACUCUAAGUGUUUAAGGUCUUUUGCAAUAGGCAUCGCCACUUAAGCUGUAUGUUUUUAAUGAACCUGGAAUUCCAGCAUGCUCACUGCCCAGACGUUAUUGUAUUUUUGUUCACUAAUUCACUGAGCAUAUAAUGAGCACCUACUUAUUGUGAGACACAAGAUGAGUAAGACAUGGUCCCUGUGUUUAAGGAAUGUAUCAUUCAGUCUUAAGAAAUACCCCAGAACAUGACGCUUUCAUAUGCUCACAGAUGUGUGCUUUUCUAAACAUAUCCAAGCUGCUACCCACAGAUCUGAUGUAAACCUGGCCUUGUAGUCAGAGCUCAGCUACCUUUUAGCAUUAUUUGGAGCUUAAUUCUUUUACCUUCCCUGUCCCCAUUUUUUUCCCUUUUGAUAUACUGUUUAGUUUACUGCUGAGAUAUUGCUAUCUCAUAUGAAAAUGUCUUUCAAGACCUCGUAAGUUUAAGAAUGAGAGCCAGCUUCCUAUUAUGGUUCAUUUUUGGAGAAAUUCCGAAUAAAGACUGAUAGAUGGAUUCCCUUAAGGGAAAUAAUUAUUUAAACUAUUAAUUUUCUAAUGAAAAGAACUUAGUAAAAAUGAAAAUAAGAGGAACCACUUGGAAAAAUGAUAUUUUAAAAUCAUAAUUUAUGGAUUUAGGACUUUUAUUUUGUGAAUAAUAAGUCUAAACACUAAAUGCCUGUUUUGAGAAGGCAGACUCUAAGUCUUCAUGAUCUUUGUGCCCUUUUCAUGCUGGGGUUGUUUUCCCUCUCCUAUUUUUUUUUUUUUUGAGACAGAGUCUCGCUUUGUCAUCCAGGCUGGAGUGCAGUGGUGCGAUCUUGGCUCACUGCAACUGCCGCCUCCCGGGUUCAAGCGAUUCUCCUGCCUCAGCCUCCCGAGCAGCUGUGACUAUAGGUGUGUACCACCAUGCCCAGCUAAUUUUUGUAGUUUUAGUAGAGACGGGCGUUUCACCAUAUUGGCCAGGCUGGUCUCGAACUCUGACCUCGUGAUCUAGCUGCCUCAGCCUCCCAAAGUGCUGGAAUUACAGGUGUGAGCCACCGCACCCAGCCUCCCCCUCCUAUUUUAUUCAAAACUUUUUUUUUUUUUCCAGUCUCUGGAAGUACUUAGAGCACAAGACCGUGGCUAUGAGAGGUUCUUAUGCUGCUUUUGUCAUCAAUUCCCCUUCCAUUCCCAGCAGUCUCACUGCAUUGCAAGUCUCCUGGCAAGAACCUCUCUGCCUUGCCUGUUCUUGCACUAGCUCACAGCCUCAGCCAGGUUCCUUUCCAUAGACCUUGCCCUGCUGCUGCGUAGCAGCAGGCUCAGGUGUCACUGCCACAACUUUGCAUCUGCACAUGCGCGUGCACUUCAAAUAAUGCGAAAGAUAGGACACUUGGGACCCUCAAAUGUUGGAAACUUAGGAUUUUUAAUGAGAUUUUCUUCUGUGUCUGAAAUUAUAAUAUUUGCAAAGGGCCUAAAACACUACCAGUUUUAAACCCCUUAUUUUGUGUAAUUUGGUGACUAUAAUCAAUAAUUCACAGUAAUGAGUUAGCAGAAAUGGCUAAAUCAGAAAAUGAUUCUAUAUUUAGGCAUAGGAGUUAUGAUUGGCAGGGUGUGUGUAAGGUGAAAAAUAAACAUAUUGAAUAGUCUUAUGAUUAAAGAUGAUUACAAAUUUGACUUAGUCAUUUCUUAUCUAGGGCAUUUAAAAUGACUUGUUAAUGAUUAUCCUUUUCUAAGUCUUCUUGCUUAUGAAGAACUGUAAGAGCUGGAGAGAUUUCUCUGCAUCUUUUACCAUAAGCACCAUAACAUAUGAGAACAUAAAGAAGACUGGAAAAGUAAUGGUUAAUGGCAUGCAGAUUCCCUGCUUUCCUUUCCUUCUCAGUUUUCCAUCCAUCUGCUUUCUUUAUUUUUUUCCCAUCUGCCAUUUCCUUUGGGGCCUAGGUGAAUACCUUAAGUAAUGAAAUAUAAUUUUUUUCUCGAUGUAGAUGGCAGUAAUUGUUUGUUCUUGGUAAUUGACAUAGCUUGAACUGGAUGUGCUAUUUAUACUUAAUUGCUGUAGAAACAGAACUGAAGUUCUUCUACUUCCUUUUUGUAAGGCGUGGUUUUCAGUAUCUGAAUGGAGAAACCAGAGGGCAUAGCAGUAAUGUAGAGGCAUAUUCACAAUGUUGUUAUUAGAGAACCCAGAUACCCUUAAGACAAGCUUGUCCAGCCCAUGGCCUUCAGGCCUCAGGACAGCUUUGAAUGUGGCCCAACACAAAUUCGUAAACUUUCUCAAAACAUUAUGAGAUUUUUUUGGAAUUUUUUUUUUUAGCUCAUUAGUUAUCAUUAUAGUGUAUUUUAUGUGUGGCCCAAGACAGUUCUUCUUCCAAUGUGGCCCAGGGAAGCCAAAAGAUCAGACACCCCUGCUCUAAGAUUUAGAUACUUUCAACCACAUGGUUUUAGAUACUGCUUUAAAGGCCUUCAGUUAGUGAGUGGUUCUAGUCAUCCUAGUUUCUC
RNAcentral lists this long non-coding RNA (3207 nucleotides) under Homo sapiens (human). RNAcentral's name for it is "HSALNT0240774". Lineage: Eukaryota; Metazoa; Chordata; Mammalia; Primates; Hominidae. The record is from RNAcentral.